This 788-nucleotide ribosomal RNA is filed under the name uncultured bacterium. RNAcentral's name for it is "bacterial SSU rRNA". It matches the Rfam family "Bacterial small subunit ribosomal RNA", at positions 8 to 794 of the family's 1533-position model. The record is from RNAcentral.
AGAGUUUGAUCCUGGCUCAGGAUGAACGCUAGCGGCAGGCUUAAUACAUGCAAGUCGAGGGGCAGCACGGUAGCAAUACUGGUGGCGACCGGCGCACGGGUGCGUAACACGUAUACAACCUACCUUAAACAGGGGGAUAACCUUUCGAAAGAGAGACUAAUACCCCGUAAUAAAUUGGAUGGCAUCAUUUGAUUUUGAAAGUUCCGACGGUUUAAGAUGGGUAUGCGUAUGAUUAGCUAGUUGGUAGUGUAACGGACUACCAAGGCGACGAUCAUUAGGGGAUCUGAGAGGACUACCCCCCACACUGGUACUGAGACACGGACCAGACUCCUACGGGAGGCAGCAGUAAGGAAUAUUGGUCAAUGGAGGCAACUCUGAACCAGCCAUGCCGCGUGCAGGAUGACGGCCCUAUGGGUUGUAAACUGCUUUUGUACGGGAGAAAACCCACCUACGUGUAGGUGGUUGAUAGUACCGUAAGAAUAAGCAUCGGCUAACUUCGUGCCAGCAGCCGCGGUAAGACGAAGGAUACAAGCGUUAUCCGGAUUCAUUGGGUUUAAAGGGUGCGUAGGCGGACUGAUAAGUCGGUGGUGAAAGCCGGCAGCUUAACUGUCGAAUUGCCAUUGAUACUGUUGGUCUAGAGUAUAGAUGACGUUGGCGGAAUAUGACAUGUAGUGGUGAAAUACUUAGAUAUGUCAUAGAACACCGAUUGCGAAGGCAGCUAACGAAACUAUAACUGACGCUGAGGCACGAAAGUGCGGGGAUCGAACAGGAUUAGAUACCCCGGUAGU